Non-coding RNA from Chlorocebus sabaeus (green monkey), 992 nucleotides. NCBI's taxonomy places the organism in Eukaryota, Metazoa, Chordata, Mammalia, Primates, Cercopithecidae. The record is from RefSeq and is a predicted model, not a curated record.
ACUGUGGAAAGGAGAAAGGUGAUGAGGUGCCACCCACUCUACACCUCACCAGCUCAGCAGAUUGCUCCUGUCCCUAGGUGAGGAUGGGCCCCUGUUGCUACGUGCGUGAGGAGGGGAGCGGGUCAGUGGGGUGGAAGGCAAGGAGCCUCGUUCUGAGAGCUAAGGGAGCACAGGAGCCUCUGCUAUGAGCUGCGUGGCUGGGCACAUUGAGCCACCCACUCUACCCUGCUCCGGGGAGGGGACAUGGCAGUGCUUUGUAAACUUUAAUACUAUAUGUGGAGAGUAGUCUGAGGCCAGCAUAAAGACAUUUGCCUGUAAUGCUGGAAAUACCCUGGGUCUUGCACACUCAUACAAGAGGCUGUGGAUGGAGCCUCCUGUGCCUAUUUGGGCCUCUCAGCCAUUCCUAGAGGUGUUGGUUCAUUCAUGCAGCAGGAUGUUACUGAUUAUUUAUGUGCCCAGCACUGAACCAGCAGGUACUAGAGGAAAUAAAUUAGCCUAAGCAUUGGCCCCUCCUCAAGGAUCUCACAAACUAUUGGUCCAAUAGGAGAAAGCCCAGAAUCCAGCUAAAUUCAUAAGGAAUUACCCUAUUCUUGCCUUGUAUGAUCUCUCCAGGUUGGCAUUCCAUAGCCGAGGUCUGGAAUCACUGGGUUUGCAGAGCAAGCCCUGGUGCCCACCAUGCCUGCAGCACACCCUGCAAGCCACCACCUGGCUUCAUCCUGGUCUGUUCCCAUACAGCACUGCUACUCAGCCCUUAUAAUAAGCAAAGUUCAUGUUUCUGAAUGUUGCCGAUGUGUUAGACACCAUGCACACCAUCUCAUGAAGCGCUCAUGCCCACCCCGUAAGAGUUUUCAGCCCCUGGCGCCUCACCUGGACUCCUCAGUUUCUACCCACUGGUACAUCUCCACGUGCCUCCGCAGUUUCACAGCCGGAAGAUGAACCCCAUAGUUUGGAUCAGACAAAAGCUUCAAACAGAAUCAAAGAAACCAAAAAAA